This 104-nucleotide ribosomal RNA is filed under the name Periophthalmus magnuspinnatus. The record is from RNAcentral. Lineage: Eukaryota; Metazoa; Chordata; Actinopteri; Gobiiformes; Gobiidae.
CCUCCUUGUCAAAGCCUGAUCUUGUCAGAUCUCAGACGCUAAGCAGAGCCUGGUUAGUACUUGGACGGGGAGACUGUUGGGAAUAUCAGCUGCCACAGUGGGGC